CAAUAGCGUAUAUUAAAGUUGUUGCGGUUAAAAAGCUCGUAGUUGGAUUUCUGUUGAGGACGGCCGGUCCGCACUAUGUGCGUGUAUCUGGUUCGGCCUUGGCAUCCUCUUGAGGAACGUAUCUGCGCUUGAUUGCGUGGAGCGGUAUUCAAGACUUUUACUUUGAGGAAAUUAGAGUGUUCACGGCAGGCAAGCGCCUUGAAUACGUUAGCAUGGAAUGAUAAUAUAGGAUCUUGGUUCUAUUUUGUUGGUUUCUAGAGCUAAGGUAAUGAUUAAUAGGGAUAAUUGGGGGCAUUUGUAUUAACGCGUCAGAGGUGGAAUUCUUGGAUUGCGUUACGACAAACUACUGCGAAAGCAUUUGCCAAGGAUGUUUNCAUUGA
This 380-nucleotide ribosomal RNA is filed under the name uncultured eukaryote. RNAcentral describes it as "partial 18S ribosomal RNA". It matches the Rfam family "Eukaryotic small subunit ribosomal RNA", at positions 592 to 976 of the family's 1831-position model. The record is from RNAcentral.